GCAUUGAUGAUUCAGUCAUAGAAUUCUGACCUUUCAUGUGGGAGACCUGGGUUCAACUCCCAGCCAAUGAC
RNAcentral lists this transfer RNA (71 nucleotides) under Loxodonta africana (African savanna elephant). It matches the Rfam family "tRNA". From Rfam's summary of the family: Transfer RNA (tRNA) molecules are approximately 80 nucleotides in length. Their secondary structure includes four short double-helical elements and three loops (D, anti-codon, and T loops). Lineage: Eukaryota; Metazoa; Chordata; Mammalia; Proboscidea; Elephantidae. The record is from Rfam by way of RNAcentral.